AUAAUUUAAAUCUGUUGGAAAACAGUACCAUAGAGAGUGAUAGUCUCGUAAAUUAUUAUUGAAAAUAUUGUUACUAUCAACAGUAGAUUAAUCUUUGUUAACUUAAGAGUAGUACAGCUUGGGAUUGUUGUAUGAAAUUUAAAAUAGGAGGUAAAUGGCUCCUAACACUAAAUAUAACUAUAAGACCGAUAGCAAACAAGUACUGUGAAGGAAAAUUGAAAUAGAACUUUGAAAAGAGAGUUAAAUUUUAGAAUGUGAAAUCGUCCAGUGAGAACCAAGAGAGGGGUACCAAACAAAAAAGAAUGGAAAUAAAUAUAUCUAUCAAAUGAUAUAUGUUUCAUUUUAAUUAAAGUAGAUCAGUAAAUAUUGAUUAAAUUGAACA
This 382-nucleotide ribosomal RNA is filed under the name Climacostomum virens. Its description in RNAcentral is "partial Eukaryotic large subunit ribosomal RNA". It matches the Rfam family "Eukaryotic large subunit ribosomal RNA", at positions 175 to 527 of the family's 3401-position model. The record is from RNAcentral. Lineage: Eukaryota; Ciliophora; Heterotrichea; Heterotrichida; Climacostomidae.